This 1872-nucleotide ribosomal RNA is filed under the name Triticum aestivum (bread wheat). RNAcentral describes it as "partial small subunit ribosomal RNA". Lineage: Eukaryota; Viridiplantae; Streptophyta; Magnoliopsida; Poales; Poaceae. The record is from RNAcentral.
AUGGCCGACGCGUCCGCCUUCCCCUACGGGCUGCGCGUCCUCGUCGUCGACGACGACCCCACCUGGCUCAAGAUACUCGAGAAGAUGCUCCGCAAGUGCUCCUACGAAGGUUCGAAUCUUCGCCUGCUUUCCUCUUCGGGUUCUCGAUCGGCUUGGCGUGGCGGCUACGCCGUCGCCUCCUCUCCUGUGGGUGUAUGUGCAUCCGUCCGUCGCCUAUGCAUGUCUGUUACCACUUGCGGCCUAGCUAGAGUUGCUCUUGAAAUUCUCCGGGAGAGGAAAAACAGGUUCGACAUUGUGAUUAGUGAUGUCAACAUGCCAGAUAUGGAUGGCUUCAAGCUUCUUGAACACAUUGGACUUGAGAUGGAUCUACCUGUUAUAAUGAUGUCCAUUGAUGGGGAGACAAGUAGGGUGAUGAAAGGUGUCCAGCAUGGUGCUUGCGAUUACCUCCUUAAGCCCGUUCGGAUGAAGGAACUCCGGAACAUUUGGCAACACGUAUACAGGAAGAAAAUGCACGAGGUUAAAGAGAUCGAAGGUCAUGAUAGCUGUGAUGAUCUCCAGAUACUAAGAUAUGGUUUCGAGGGAUUUGAUGAGAAGGGCCUAUUUAUGACAGUUGAUUCCGAUGCCACGAGGAAGAGAAAAGAUGUGGACCACGGAGAUCAGGACUCCAGUGACGGUGCUACUGCUAAAAAGGCUAGAGUAGUCUGGUCUGUUGAUCUGCAUCAGAAGUUUGUAAAUGCUGUGAACCAAAUUGGAUUCGACAAAGUGGGGCCGAAGAAAAUAUUGGACCUGAUGAACGUGCCGGGCUUAACAAGAGAGAAUGUUGCUAGCCAUCUUCAGAAAUAUCGCCUAUACUUGGGGAGGCUGCAAAAGCAGAACGAGGAAAGGAUAUUGGGCUCUGCUAGGCAAGAUUUCAGCACUAAGGGACCAUCAUCAGAGAACCUUAACCUCAGAAGCUCCUUCCAAGAGCAACCAAGCAACACUUCCAGUGGAUAUCCACAUGCUUCCCAGAAGAUACAAGGCCAGAGCAGUGUGUCAGAUUCUCAGUUAGAAGAAACCAAGCGCACGGUCCCCUUACCGGCGCCAGAUAGAAGCAUGAAUUCUGUAAGUUCAGCUGCCGAACCUCAGAAUGUUGCCGGUGUUUCACCAAUAGGCGGCGUGCUGUCGUUCAAAGGUUUGCCAGUGAAUCAGGACAGGAAGCCAUCAGAAACCAUGAUCCUGGAAUGCCAGGCCUGGACUGGAGGAGUGCCAGCAAAGCAGUUCAUGCAGUACCCAAAGCACAACCAUGCACGCUGCGACUUGUUAGGGGAUUAUGCAUGCCUACCAAAGCCAGACUUGGAACACCCCACUGCUCCUGGCCAUUUGUUUACACCACCGCCGCUUAUCUCAAUGAGUUGCAGUACGGAGAUGGACGCCAGAAACUUCUCAGAUGUGAAGCCAGCCCUUCUUGACUGCAUCAAGUCCUUCUCCCCGGCGUUGACAUGUACAGCUGAUUCGGUUUCUGUUCAGAUCAGUGACAGUGUUGUGACCUCAACCGAUGCUGCUGACCGGAAGUUUUCCAGUGUGGAAGGUCUGCCUAGCACUAAAGAUUGUUACUUCGGCCAGACAAGCAACCAAGGCUCCUGGCUUCGUUCGCAAGAGGAGCCAAGCAUCAUAUGCGGGGCGGAUUUUGCUUCUCUGCCCGAGGAUCUCCCCGGCUACCCACUUCAAGGAGGUGUCUCCUUUGAGAAUGUAGGGCUGAGUAGCAUUGAUUUGUUUCACUACAAUGACGCGAUGAUACUAUCUGGGCUACAAAGUAACUGGUAUGAUGAUCAAGACCACUUCAGCAGCGAAACGACGGACUACCCGUUGAUGGAUGGAUGCCUCUUUGCAUAA